UUAAACUGUGAUGAUCAAACUAAAUACUUUUGUUCUUCCGAUGCUCUAUCUCAUGGCACUGUGUGGAAGGAAUUUGGAGACCUUAACUGAGUACUU
Non-coding RNA from Triticum aestivum (bread wheat), 96 nucleotides. The record is from Rfam. NCBI's taxonomy places the organism in Eukaryota, Viridiplantae, Streptophyta, Magnoliopsida, Poales, Poaceae.